AGUGAACGCUGGCGGUAGGCCUAACACAUGCAAGUCGAACGGCAGCACAGUAAGAGCUUGCUCUUACGGGUGGCGAGUGGCGGACGGGUGAGGAAUACAUCGGAAUCUACUUUUUCGUGGGGGAUAACGUAGGGAAACUUACGCUAAUACCGCAUACGACCUACGGGUGAAAGCAGGGGAUCUUCGGACCUUGCGCGAUUGAAUGAGCCGAUGUCGGAUUAGCUAGUUGGCGGGGUAAAGGCCCACCACGGCGUCGAUCCGUAGCUGGUCUGCGAGGAUGAUCAGCCACACUGGAACUGAGACACGGUCCAGACUCCUAGGGGAGGCAGCAGUGGGGAAUAUUGGACAAUAGGCGCAAGCGUGAACCAGCCAUACCGAGUGGGUGAAGAAGGCCUUCGGGUUGUAAAGCCCUUUUGUUGGGAAAGAAAAGCAGCAGGUUAAUACCCCGCUGUUCUGACGGUACCCAAAGAAUAAGCACCGGCUAACUUCGUG
This 492-nucleotide ribosomal RNA is filed under the name uncultured bacterium. Its description in RNAcentral is "partial 16S ribosomal RNA". It matches the Rfam family "Bacterial small subunit ribosomal RNA", at positions 29 to 507 of the family's 1533-position model. The record is from RNAcentral.